Small nuclear RNA from Rhinolophus ferrumequinum (greater horseshoe bat), 96 nucleotides. The record is from Ensembl. NCBI's taxonomy places the organism in Eukaryota, Metazoa, Chordata, Mammalia, Chiroptera, Rhinolophidae.
AUGGCUUGCCAGCAUGUAUACUAAAAUUGGAACAAUACAGAGAAGAUUAUCAUGGCCCCUACACAAGGAUAACGUGCACAUUUUCCCCAUAUUUUU